RNAcentral lists this ribosomal RNA (254 nucleotides) under uncultured bacterium. RNAcentral's name for it is "partial 16S ribosomal RNA". It matches the Rfam family "Bacterial small subunit ribosomal RNA", at positions 524 to 776 of the family's 1533-position model. The record is from RNAcentral.
UACGGGGGGAGCAAGCGUUGUUCGGAUUUACUGGGCGUAAAGGGCGCGUAGGCGGUCGUGACAAGUCACUCGUGAAAUCUCCGGGCUUAACUCGGAACGGUCAAGUGAUACUGUCGGACUAGAGUACAGAAGGGGCAACUGGAAUUCUCGGUGUAGCGGUGAAAUGCGUAGAUAUGCGGAGGAACACCGAUGGCGAAGGCAAUCCCCUGGGCCUGCACUGACGCUCAUGCACGAAAGCGUGGGGAGCAAACAGG